UUGGUGCAAAAGUAAUUGCGGUUUUUGCUAUUGAAAAUAAUGGAAAAAAUGACAAUUACUUUUACACCAA
This is a microRNA precursor of Pan paniscus (pygmy chimpanzee), 70 nucleotides long. The record is from Ensembl. NCBI's taxonomy places the organism in Eukaryota, Metazoa, Chordata, Mammalia, Primates, Hominidae.